Arachis duranensis is the source of this 499-nucleotide long non-coding RNA. RefSeq lists it as uncharacterized. The transcript has 3 exons. Lineage: Eukaryota; Viridiplantae; Streptophyta; Magnoliopsida; Fabales; Fabaceae. The record is from RefSeq and is a predicted model, not a curated record.
AAUUGGAAAAACAGCUUGAUAAUAAAGAAGUUAGGCUUUCGAAGGAACCACCAGUAGAUGAUGAAAAUGCAAUUACUAUAGUUGUUCGGAUGCCAGAUGGUAGUCGCAGUGAACGUCGCUUUCUCAAAUCCGACAAGCUUCAGGCCCUUUUUGAUUUCGUAGACAUUCAUGGAGCAGUGAAGCCUGGAACCUAUAGAGUUGUAAAGUCAUACCCGCGAUGCGCUUAUAGCACCAAGGAUGGCAAGUUAACUUUUAGUGAAGUUGGCCUUAGCAGCAAGAGUGAGGCAUUGUUUCUGGAGUUUAUUUAGCUUUCAUCUAAGUUCCUGUAAGUACCCUGAUCUGUAUUUGUACAUAUAGAGUAGGACAAAACAAAACAGGAUUUCUCACUUGGCAAUAUAGUGUAAAGAGGUUAAUAUUUGAGACAUAUAUUCAUUGGACACUGAGGGCCAAUGGUAUCUUUCUGUCUAUACAAAUCUCCUUACUAGCUUUUCAAAUAUUA